Molecule: ribosomal RNA, 460 nt
Filed under: uncultured bacterium
Lineage: Bacteria
Description: partial 16S ribosomal RNA
Rfam family: Bacterial small subunit ribosomal RNA
Source: RNAcentral
CCUACGUGGCGCAGCAGUGAGGAAUAUUGGUCAAUGGGCGCGAGCCUGAACCAGCCAAGUAGCGUGAAGGAUGACUGCCCUACGGGUUGUAAACUUCUUUUAUAAAGGAAUAAAGUGAGGCACGUGUGCCUUUUUGUAUGUACUUUAUGAAUAAGGAUCGGCUAACUCCGUGCCAGCAGCCGCGGUAAUACGGAGGAUCCGAGCGUUAUCCGGAUUUAUUGGGUUUAAAGGGAGCGUAGAUGGGUUGUUAAGUCAGUUGUGAAAGUUUGCGGCUCAACCGUAAAAUUGCAAUUGAUACUGGAAGUCUUGAGUACAGUUGAGGUAGGAGGAAGUCGUGGUGUAUCGGUGAAAUUCUUAGAUAUCACGAAGAACUCCGAUUGCGAAGGCAGCUUACUAAACUGCCACUGACAUUGAUGCUCGAAAGUGUGGGUAGCAAACAGGAUUAGAUACCCGGGUAGGC